CCUUGACUGGAAAUGUGAAGGGAACAAGCUGACACUUAAGAUUAUCUAUUCCUAUGAGAGAGUUAGCUUCAGCCCGCAUCUUCUUCUCAGACGCUAUUUUUACACUGGACCCUAACAUUCUAGAAGGAAAAAUUAAAAGAGCUUGUUCCUGGGAAUCAUGAGAACAGACUGGAUACCUAAACUUUGGCUGACUGAAAACGUAACCUGGAAGCACCCUGCCGUCUUUUUCAGCUCUUCUAUCAACUUAUCCUGAUCUUCCUUCCCUGCAGUCUUGACCUCGUUGCUCAUCUGCUGUACCUCCGCACCACCACUCACUCUCUUCCUGAUGUCCUGCAGCUCACUACUGCGCCGUCUCAGGGUGGUUUGGCUUGCAGUGCCGCUGGACACGCUAGAAUGCUGGAGUUGCGCAUACUGCGCUUGAUGAGGACAGUUUUCAGUUUCUCUUCAAAUGGGGACAAGGACAGUUCUUCAGGUCUGCUUAACAAGUCUGAAGGGCUGAGGGCUGCUGGUUUGAAGUGUGUGCAUGCACACUUGCUGUCAUGGUGGGCCUUGUGGUGUUUUAAGCACCCGUGUUUCCUGCACACACUGCACGUGACCUCAAGGCUUCCCAAGGCUCUCAAAGUGAUCUCGGAAGGAGGUUGUAUUGCUUCAACAUCAUCAAGAUGUCCUGAUUGGCUGAUGUCGUCUGAGACUCUUGUAGACACUGGCACAGACAAUCUGCACAGACAAGACUACCGCACGUCUUGAGUUCGAUAGGUUUGUCUACUAUCUUUUUACAGAUAGGACAGUCAAAACAACCUUGCGACGGUAGUACUGUGUCUUGUUCGCAGAAGGUGGAGGGAGCUAUCAGCUUGAUGUGCUGGAUGGCUGACUGACUGAAAUGAGCCUUUUGCCGGUCUGCCAGGUUUGUAUUGCUUCUUCGGCCUCCCACCAACACUGAGGUCGUCGUGCCUGUCAGAGCAGACAUAUCUCCAACCUGAGGGACCUUUCUUGUUCUUAAAGAGAGAUCCACAAACCCUGCAGUGCCUGCAAAGUGCCUCAAGAUGUUCUUGACUCAUUCCUGAAGGUUGAUGCAAAUGAAUUGUCUGUUUUUGUUCAUUAUAUAUCAAUGUGCAUGUGUAAAUAUCGUAAAUUUGUGUCAUGUUUCAUAUUGUUGCUGCCAAAAAAUUUUGUCCAAUACCUGUCGUUGUUGAAACUGUAGUAUGGAACUUCCUCUUUCAGUUGUUGCAAAUUUCACUUCAAAGAAACACUCUGGUAGUCAGUGAGUAGCUAUCAAAACAUCCACUUACAACUUGUA
Long non-coding RNA from Halichondria panicea, 1297 nucleotides. RefSeq lists it as uncharacterized. The transcript is spliced from 4 exons. Lineage: Eukaryota; Metazoa; Porifera; Demospongiae; Suberitida; Halichondriidae. The record is from RefSeq and is a predicted model, not a curated record.